GCGAUGAACCAGACCGCCGCCGUGUUUUCAUCAUACGAUGAAAAUGCGGAGGAAAGUCCGGGCUCCGCAGGGCAUGAUGCCGGGUAACACCCGGGCUCGGUAGGUAAUCGUGAAAGCGCUUAUGUGCCGGGACAGAAAGCGCAACAGAAAGUAUACCGCCCGACCACAUAUUAUGUGGUCGGGUAAGGGUGAAAUGGCAGGGUAAGAGCCUGCCUCGGCAGCGGCAACGCUGCCGGAAAGAGGCAAGCCUCAUCAGGAGCAAAGUCAAGCAGCGGCGUGUAUAGCAAGCUGUACACGAUGCGGCUGGCGAAGCCAGCCGUGCCGGCGGCCCGCCGGUUAAACGCGGGUAGACUGCACAGAAAAAGCCGGUAACGGCCUUUCAAGACAGAUGGCGGUAGAUAGUUUCUAUCGACAGAACCCGGCUUAUGGUUCAUCGCUUUU
Molecule: RNase P RNA, 441 nt
Filed under: Treponema sp.
Lineage: Bacteria; Pseudomonadati; Spirochaetota; Spirochaetia; Treponematales; Treponemataceae
Description: RNase P RNA component class A
Rfam family: Bacterial RNase P class A
About the family: Ribonuclease P (RNase P) is a ubiquitous endoribonuclease, found in archaea, bacteria and eukarya as well as chloroplasts and mitochondria. Its best characterised activity is the generation of mature 5'-ends of tRNAs by cleaving the 5'-leader elements of precursor-tRNAs.
Source: RNAcentral